UCCUCUUUAUUAUAUAGGAUAGUGGUUAGUUAGGAAUGUGGACUCUGGCCAGACUGUUACUUAGACAAGUACUUUAACUUCUCAGUACGUCUUCACCUGUAUGAGGGGAAUCAUAAUAGUGCCUAUAAUAUGGUACUAUAAAACAGAAUUAAACUGUACAUUACACAUUACCUGGGAUGUGAAUUCUAUAAAUGUUCACUAUUAUAGUUUACAUCAUUACUAUUAUUGAUGUUAUUUCUGUCAUGUAUGGUACUUAAACCAAGGGUAAAGUUUACUCUGUAGGAUUAGCAUGCCCCCAAAAAUGUAAGACAGAAGAAGGAGUUGUGAACAUUAGGGAAGAGGGAUCCCAGGACGUGACCAAACACCCAGAAAAUUGGUUCUAAUAAAUCUAAUUGAAGCAUAGUCUUGCUAUGGGAGGUGGAGAAGAGUGAAAACAAUCUUAAAUUGUAAUCACAGGAUGAUUUCUGUCAGAUUAAGCCUUCUAUUACAGCCAAAGAAGUUGGAUUUAAGAAUACAACAAACCUCAGUAGCAAAAAAAUACAGAACAAUCCAAUUUAAAAAUGGGCUGAAGAUCUGAAAAGACAUUUGUCCAAGGAAGAAAUACAAAUGGCCAACAGCUGGAAACAAACAAAAGACAUAGGAAGAAUACAUCCAUCUACAAGUCAAGGAGAGAGGCCUCAGAAGAAACUAACCCUGCCAACACCUUGAUCUUGGACAUCUAACCUCUAGAACUGUGAGAAAUAAAUUUCUGUUGUUCAAGCCAAAAAACAAAACAAAACAAAAAACAGUACCACACACUUAGUAUAAAGUGUAGAUUUUAGUCUUUACUCUCAAUUUUGAAAAUAUUUAUAGAGUAGGAAACAUUUGGAAAAGUAUUUUGAAAUAUCUUUACUUUUUUUGGUAAUUCUGACUAUCCACAUACAUAUUUAUAUGCUAGUUCCUUGUAUCAGCAUUCAACCUAGGUAGAGGUAGAAAUGUAUACAGAGACCAUAUACUCAAGUAAACUCAGUAAACUGUUAGGUUAAAACCAUUUGUUUCAAAUAUUGUCCUGACUAGACUGGGGCUGUCAUGGCUCAUCCAAAUGUAAAAUAAUGCAGAUCUGAAUAGCUGUGCAGACAUAGACUAAAACCUGUUGUCUACCUUGUCACUAAUAAGUGGUGAGAAAAGUAAAUAAAUAGUUUUCCUCCAGAAUUUAAGGGAGUUGAAAAUGCCAAUAAUUAUAAUAAACAGUUUGUUUCACUAUAUGUAUAUAAUAACACAUACACAAUAAUACAUACCUAGCUUAUGUCUCCAAAGCAAAUUACUUAUUAGCACUUGGAAGAAAAAGUAGUUAACUCUACUAAAGGUAGUAAAAUUCAUCCUGGUCUCUUAAUCCUCUUUAUUACUUAAAUAUUAGCAUUAUCCAUAUUCAUCUAUUAAUUUAGAGUUAUUUAGUGAGAUAAGACAGAAGGUGUAUUAAAAAUAAAUAAGGUAGGAUGGGAGGCAUAGUAAGUGGAAAAUUUAAGAGUCAUGAUAUUUAUUUCAUAAGGGAACUUGAUAGUAACAGAAAAUGCAUUUUAAA
This is a long non-coding RNA of Myotis davidii, 1561 nucleotides long. RefSeq lists it as uncharacterized. Lineage: Eukaryota; Metazoa; Chordata; Mammalia; Chiroptera; Vespertilionidae. The record is from RefSeq and is a predicted model, not a curated record. The transcript has 2 exons.